RNAcentral lists this ribosomal RNA (467 nucleotides) under uncultured bacterium. RNAcentral describes it as "partial 16S ribosomal RNA". It matches the Rfam family "Bacterial small subunit ribosomal RNA", at positions 29 to 507 of the family's 1533-position model. The record is from RNAcentral.
ACGCACGCUGGCGGCGUGCUUCACCCAUGCAAGUCGAACGGAAAGGCCCUGCUUUUGUGGGGUGCUCGAGUGGCGAACGGGUGAGUAACACGUGAGUAACCUGCCCUUGACUUUGGGAUAACUUCAGGAAACUGGGGCUAAUACCGGAUAGGAGCUCCUGCUGCAUGGUGGGGGUUGGAAAGUUUCGGCGGUUGGGGAUGGACUCGCGGCUUAUCAGCUUGUUGGUGGGGUAGUGGCUUACCAAGGCUUUGACGGGUAGCCGGCCUGAGAGGGUGACCGGCCACAUUGGGACUGAGAUACGGCCCAGACUCCUACGGGAGGCAGCAGUGGGGAAUAUUGCACAAUGGGCGGAAGCCUGAUGCAGCAACGCCGCGUGCGGGAUGACGGCCUUCGGGUUGUAAACCGCUUUCGCCUGUGACGAAGCGUGAGUGGCGGUAAUGGGUAAAGAAGCACCGGCUAACUACGUG